Molecule: unclassified non-coding RNA, 269 nt
Filed under: uncultured fungus
Lineage: Eukaryota; Fungi
Description: sequence contains ITS1, 5.8S rRNA gene
Rfam family: 5.8S ribosomal RNA (bases 221-269)
Source: RNAcentral
UCUCCGUUGGUGAACCAGCGGAGGGAUCAUUACAGAGUUAUCUAACUCCCAAACCCAUGUGAACUUACCAUUUGUUGCCUCGGCAGAGCCUACCCGGUAACUGUUCGGAGAAGCUACCCUGUAGCUACCCUGUAACGGCCUACCCUGUAACGCACUGCCGGUGGACUUUUAAACUCUUGUUAUUUUAUAGUAAUCGGAGCGGCUUAUUUUAGUAAGUCAAAACUUGCAACAACGGAUCUCUUGGUUCUGGCAUCGAUGAAUAACGCAGC